Molecule: ribosomal RNA, 497 nt
Filed under: uncultured bacterium
Lineage: Bacteria
Description: partial 16S ribosomal RNA
Rfam family: Bacterial small subunit ribosomal RNA
Source: RNAcentral
GAUGAACGCUGGCGGCGUGCCUAAUACAUGCAAGUCGAGCGAACAGAUAAGGAGCUUGCUCCUUUGACGUUAGCGGCGGACGGGUGAGUAACACGUGGGUAACCUACCUAUAAGACUGGAAUAACUCCGGGAAACCGGGGCUAAUGCCGGAUAACAUUUAGAACCGCAUGGUUCUAAAGUGAAAGAUGGUUUUGCUAUCACUUAUAUAUGGACCCGCGCCGUAUUAGCUAGUUGGUAAGGUAACGGCUUACCAAGGCAACGAUACGUAGCCGACCUGAGAGGGUGAUCGGCCACACUGGAACUGAGACACGGUCCAGACUCCUACGGGAGGCAGCAGUAGGGAAUCUUCCGCAAUGGGCGAAAGCCUGACGGAGCAACGCCGCGUGAGUGAUGAAGGUCUUCGGAUCGUAAAACUCUGUUAUUAGGGAAGAACAAAUGUGUAAGUAACUGUGCACGUCUUGACGGUACCUAAUCAGAAAGCCACGGCUAACUACGUG